GGGUCAGUAGGUUGGUCGUGCCACCGGUACGUACUGGUCUCACUGAUUCCUCCAUCCUGAAGAACCGUAAUGCCAUUAAUUUGGUGUUGCGGGGAAACAGGACUGUUACUUUGAAAAUAUUAGAGUGUUUAAAGCAAGCUAACGCUUGAAUACAUUAGCAUGGAAUAAUGAAAUAGGACGAUCGAUCCUAUUUUGUUGGUUUCUAGGAUUGACGUA
This 216-nucleotide ribosomal RNA is filed under the name Glomeromycotina sp. RNAcentral describes it as "partial small subunit ribosomal RNA". The stretch from base 40 to 216 matches the Rfam family "Eukaryotic small subunit ribosomal RNA", at positions 686 to 864 of the family's 1831-position model. The record is from RNAcentral. Lineage: Eukaryota; Fungi; Glomeromycota.